Molecule: non-coding RNA, 25 nt
Filed under: Rattus norvegicus (Norway rat)
Lineage: Eukaryota; Metazoa; Chordata; Mammalia; Rodentia; Muridae
Source: RNAcentral
UGAGUCUUUCGUUUAUGGUCCCUGA